RNAcentral lists this ribosomal RNA (497 nucleotides) under uncultured bacterium. RNAcentral's name for it is "partial 16S ribosomal RNA". It matches the Rfam family "Bacterial small subunit ribosomal RNA", at positions 28 to 507 of the family's 1533-position model. The record is from RNAcentral.
GAUGAACGCUGGCGGCGUGCCUAAUACAUGCAAGUCGAGCGAACGGACGAGAAGCUUGCUUCUCUGAUGUUAGCGGCGGACGGGUGAGUAACACGUGGAUAACCUACCUAUAAGACUGGGAUAACUUCGGGAAACCGGAGCUAAUACCGGAUAAUAUUUUGAACCGCAUGGUUCAAAAGUGAAAGACGGUCUUGCUGUCACUUAUAGAUGGAUCCGCGCUGCAUUAGCUAGUUGGUAAGGUAACGGCUUACCAAGGCAACGAUGCAUAGCCGACCUGAGAGGGUGAUCGGCCACACUGUAACUGAGACACGGUCCAGACUCCUACGGGAGGCAGCAGUAGGGAAUCUGCCGCAAUGGGCGAAAGCCUGACGGAGCAGCGCCGCGUGAGUGAUGAAGGUCUUCGGAUCGUAAAACUCUGUUAUUAGGGAAGAACAUAUGUGUAAGUAACUGUGCACAUCUUGACGGUACCUAAUCAGAAAGCCACGGCUAACUACGUG